GACGAACGCUGGCGGCGUGCUUAACACAUGCAAGUCGAACGGAAAGGCCCUGCUUGCAGGGUACUCGAGUGGCGAACGGGUGAGUAACACGUGGGUGAUCUGCCCUGCACUUCGGGAUAAGCCUGGGAAACUGGGUCUAAUACCGGAUAGGAGCCAUUUUUAGUGUGAUGGUUGGAAAGUUUUUUCGGUGUAGGAUGAGCUCGCGGCCUAUCAGCUUGUUGGUGGGGUAAUGGCCUACCAAGGCGGCGACGGGUAGCCGGCCUGAGAGGGUGGACGGCCACAUUGGGACUGAGAUACGGCCCAGACUCCUACGGGAGGCAGCAGUGGGGAAUAUUGCACAAUGGGCGCAAGCCUGAUGCAGCGCCGCCGCGUGGGGGAUGACGGCCUUCGGGUUGUAAACUCCUUUCGCUAGGGACGAAGCUUUUUGUGACGGUACCUAGAGAAGAAGCACCGGCUAACUACGUG
Molecule: ribosomal RNA, 465 nt
Filed under: uncultured bacterium
Lineage: Bacteria
Description: partial 16S ribosomal RNA
Rfam family: Bacterial small subunit ribosomal RNA
Source: RNAcentral